Molecule: long non-coding RNA, 1803 nt
Organism: Gasterosteus aculeatus aculeatus (three-spined stickleback)
Lineage: Eukaryota; Metazoa; Chordata; Actinopteri; Perciformes; Gasterosteidae
Source: Ensembl
AAACGGUGUGACAUAAGAGAUGAUGUGACACUUGAAGAUGGAGGGAUCCCUUUGCACUUGGGAAAAAGGAAGAAAGCUGGAAUGACCUCAGCACGACUCUUUCCAUAACACACUUUCCCUGAGAGGAUAUGAACAAUGAAGCUGUACAUGUGAUGCUGGACAAAUGCUGGGCCCGCGUUCAACACCUACAGUGUUACAAAGUAAAGCUCUUCCAUGUUCUUUACCGUCCAGAAUAUUUCGUCGCUGUACGAGGGACGAGAUUAGUCAGACCGCUAUUGUGUCGUUGUGAUCCGCGGGCACUCGGAAAGCUUUCUCUGUGCGAUAAGGCCUCGGACUUUUCCUCUCCGCCCUGACCGGGGCAGACAGCGGCUCUAAGCGGUGCCCUCCACGUCGGCAUGAGGCUCCUCCACUGUGGGCUCUGAUGGAUGAUGCAGAUAAGAAGGGCUGUUGUGACUGGGCCGACUAAAGGCCAAGCAGGGUGAUGGCGAGAUAGCUUCUUGUUGUCCUUAUCUGGUGAUCGUGGUGUUUGUGUCUCGGUGCGUCUGCAUGUGUGCGCUUGUGCAGGAAUGAUAUCUGAUGGAAAAGUACCAACACAACAAUCUAAAAAUAAUCAUUUACAGGAAAAUGGUCUGCGUUUAAAAUCCCACUGGUGAAGAAGUACAGAAUAAUCAGUAGAAUCUACUUAUCAAGUAAAAUGGCUAUAAUGAGUAUGAAAUGAGUCUGUGGUUAUGUGACUCACUGCAGUAAUUGAUGACUUUAUUAUCUGUUAAAGGCUAUAGCUGGAAGAGUUGAAGCUAGUUUGAACUACUUAACAUACUGUAGACCAGGUCCUCCAAACCGUCUUAAGUUAAACCCGGCAAACAAUGCAAAGAUUCAAUGGUUUAGAAAAUUAAAUAAAUAACUGCCACUCACAUUUGUAUUCUUGGAGUUUCCUCUAGUGUUCCCCAAGGCACUUCUGCAGUUGCCAUGGGUAACGGGGAAAGACUGCAGCUCAACUACUUAAAAAAAAGAAUGAAUCACAAUUUGAUAAGAACAUACAUCCACAUAUUGAGUCCGCUGUAACACAUGAACACCACGGGUUGGGUGCACAUGAAAACUACGCAAGCAAAGACGUUGAAACUCAAAAACACAGCCCAAAGGCACAGCUUUUUUGUGUGAGAUGUUACAAGGCCUCCACAGAAAACAUAUCAUCAAGGUCAGUAUCACCAGAGAUGCCAUGUUCUGUCUCCACUCUUUAUCCUCUCAGGCCGGUUUGCCAAUGUCUCUCUCUCUCUCUCUCUCUCUCUCUCUGCCAGUGUUGGCGUCUGAGAACUAAAACAAAAACACGCAUGUGAAACUGAUCAAAGAGUAAAUCUUUUCCUGUCUGUUCGUUUGCAAUGUGUGCUCUCUGUCGGGGUGCAAAAUGUAGUAUUGUUGUGGGCAAAUGUGAGAUAUUUAUCUACUUUAAAGUCACGCUCACGCAGGGUCCCUCAGGCGAGCAUGUGCUCUCAAUACUCUCACUCUGCUAUUGAUCACAACACCAAUGGCGUGUGAAUCAGUGUGAGAGGUUGGUUUUUAAAAGUUAUUUAAAAAUGCAUUAGUUUUUUAUGUUUACAGUAAAACACACUCACUCCACAUAUUGGCAAACAUGGGUAAUACAAUUGUUAACAAUUAGAGCUUUAGCGGUUUAAAAGAGCCGUAGGUGAGCUUGUCUGUUUUGAAGCAAUGGAUACCAACAUGUGGGGGGAGCGAGAGAUGCAUAGCAUGAGGAGGAAGAGGAGGAAGACAAAGAUCAAGGAGAGCCAUAAUCACUGAGAUUCAAAC